Molecule: ribosomal RNA, 1850 nt
Filed under: human gut metagenome
Description: bacterial LSU rRNA
Rfam family: Bacterial large subunit ribosomal RNA
Source: RNAcentral
GGAGGUUGGCUCAGAAGCAGCCACCCUUGAAAGAGUGCGUAACAGCUCACUGGUCGAGCGUCCCUGCGCCAAAAAUGUGGGGGGCUAAGCAUGGCGCCGAAGCUUCGGAUUCAAUGGAGAUAUCUAUUGACUGGUAGGGGAGCGUUCUUUAUGGGACGAAGCAGUGCUGUAAGGCACUGUGGACAAUAAAGAAGUGAGAAUGACGGCAUGAGUAGCGAAAAGUGUGCGAAAAACACACUCACCGAAAACCCAAGGAUUCCUGGGGAAGGUUCAUCCACCCAGGGUUAGGCGGGACCUAAGGCGAGGCCGAAAGGCGUAGUCGAUGGACAGCGGGUAGACAAUCCCGCCCUUCGGUAGCUCGUUUGACAGAAGUGGUGACGCAGAAAGCUAUGCACGCCGGGUGAUGGAAAUCCCGGUACAAAGUCGUAGGCUGAAAAAAGAGGCAAAUCCCUUUUUUCUAAAGGCCGAGAACUGACGUGGAAGAAUCUAAUUCGAGAAGGUGCAAAUGCUCGGCUGCCGAGAAAAGCCACUAUGGAGAACUAUCGAACCCGUACUCAAAACCGACACAGGUGGGUUGGCUUAGAAGGCUAAGGUGAACGGGAUAACCAUUGUUAAGGAACUCUGCAAGUUGACUCCGUAACUUCGGGAGAAGGAGUGGCUGGAGAUGUUAAAACUAUACGUAAUAAGCAUCUUUGGUUCGCAGAAACCAGGCUCAGGCGACUGUUUAACUAAAACACAGGACUCUGCUCAAGGCGCAAGCCGAAGUAUAGGGUCUGACACCUGCCCGGUGCUGGAAGGUUAAAGGGAGAAGUUAGACGCAAGUCGAAGCCUUGAACUGAAGCCCCAGUAAACGGCGGCCGUAACUAUAACGGUCCUAAGGUAGCGAAAUUCCUUGUCGGGUAAGUUCCGACCUGCACGAAAGGUGUAACGAUCUGAGCGCUGUCUCGACAGUGGACCCGGUGAAAUUGUGGUACUGGUAAAGACGCCAGUUACCCGCAGUAGGACGGAAAGACCCCGUGGAGCUUUACUGUAACUUGAUAUUGAAUUUCGGUAUAGUAUGUAUAGGAUAGGUGGGAGUCAGUGAAAUAAGGACGUCAGUCUUUAUGGAGACACCGUUGGAAUACCACCCUUAUUGUGCUGGGAUUCUAACCGCAAGCAUUGAAGCAUGAUGCGGGACAUUGUCAGGCGGGCAGUUUGACUGGGGCGGUCGCCUCCCAAAGAGUAACGGAGGCGCGCGAAGGUCACCUCAGUGUGAAUGGAAAACACACAAAGAGCGUAAGGGUAUAAGGUGGCUUAACUGUGAGACUGACAGGUCGAUCAGAAACGAAAGUUGGUCCUAGUGAUCCGGUGGUCCUGAGUGGAAAGGCCAUCGCUCAUCGGAUAAAAGCUACCCCGGGGAUAACAGGCUGAUGCCGCCCGAGAGUUCCUAUCGACGGCGGCGUUUGGCACCUCGAUGUCGGCUCAUCGCAUCCUGGGGCUGAAGCAGGUCCCAAGGGUUGGUCUGUUCGCCCAUUAAAGCGGUACGUGAGCUGGGUUCAGAACGUCGUGAGACAGUUCGGUCCCUAUCCACUGUGGGCGCAAGGUAUUUGAGAGGAACUGUCCCUAGUACGAGAGGACCGGGAUGGACGGACCGCUAGUGAACCAGUUAUUCCGCCAGGAGUAAAAGCUGGGUAGCCAUGUUCGGAUCGGAUAACCGCUGAAGGCAUCUAAGCGGGAAGCCGGCCUCAAGAUGAGAUACCUCAUUGCAUAAGCAAGUAAGGUGUCCGGCAGACGACCGGUUAGAUAGGUUGGGAGUGUAAGAGGGUAACGCCCUUUGAGCUGACCAAUACUAAUACACCGAGGCCUUAACC